GGGAGCGUAGCUCAGCGGGAGAGCACACGGCUGAAGAUAAUUUAGCCGAAACCGUGGAAUUGUUUUAACUAAAACAAUGCGGAAUGUCGGGGGUUCGACACCCCCCGCUCCCA
This 113-nucleotide transfer RNA is filed under the name soil metagenome. It matches the Rfam family "tRNA". Rfam says of the family: Transfer RNA (tRNA) molecules are approximately 80 nucleotides in length. The record is from RNAcentral.